Hordeum vulgare subsp. vulgare (domesticated barley) is the source of this 139-nucleotide non-coding RNA. The record is from Rfam. NCBI's taxonomy places the organism in Eukaryota, Viridiplantae, Streptophyta, Magnoliopsida, Poales, Poaceae.
GACAUGGAUGAUGAGGAGGUGAUCUCUCACAUCCUUGCCAGACUCGAUGAGGAAUUCGAUCCGGUGGUGCCGACCAUGUGCUCCCCGAUCGAACCUGUCAAGAUCCCAGAGCUUUACUCAUAGCUCCUGAGCUUUGAGA